This 74-nucleotide transfer RNA is filed under the name Glycomyces harbinensis. Its description in RNAcentral is "tRNA_Ile_GAT". It matches the Rfam family "tRNA". From Rfam's summary of the family: Transfer RNA (tRNA) molecules are approximately 80 nucleotides in length. Their secondary structure includes four short double-helical elements and three loops (D, anti-codon, and T loops). Further hydrogen bonds mediate the characteristic L-shaped molecular structure. tRNAs have two regions of fundamental functional importance: the anti-codon, which is responsible for specific mRNA codon recognition, and the 3' end, to which the tRNAs corresponding amino acid is attached (by aminoacyl-tRNA synthetases). tRNAs cope with the degeneracy of the genetic code in two manners: having more than one tRNA (with a specific anti-codon) for a particular amino acid; and 'wobble' base-pairing, i.e. permitting non-standard base-pairing at the 3rd anti-codon position. The record is from RNAcentral. Lineage: Bacteria; Bacillati; Actinomycetota; Actinomycetes; Glycomycetales; Glycomycetaceae.
GGGGCUAUAGCUCAGGUGGUUAGAGUGCGGAGCUGAUAACUCCGAGGUCGAUGGUUCGAGCCCAUCUAGCCCCA